Molecule: ribosomal RNA, 409 nt
Filed under: uncultured microorganism
Description: bacterial SSU rRNA
Rfam family: Archaeal small subunit ribosomal RNA
Source: RNAcentral
GUGCAGCAGUCGCGAAACUUUACAAUGUGCGAAAGCACGAUAAGGGAACUCUGAGUGCCUCCUAAGGAGGCUGUUCAGGUGUCUAAAAGCACCUGAAGGAAGGGCUGGGUAAGACCGGUGCCAGCCGCCGCGGUAACACCGGCAGCCCAAGUGGUAGCCACGUUUAUUGGGUCUAAAGCGUCCGUAGCCGGCUGGGUAAGUUCCUUGGGAAAUUUGGCUGCUUAACAGUCAAGCUUUCAGGGAAUACUGCCCGGCUUGGGACCGGGAGAGGUCAGAGGUACUCCAGGGGUAGGGGUGAAAUCCAUUAAUCCUUGGGGGACCACCGGUAGCGAAGGCGUCUGACCAGACCGGGUCCGACGGUGAGGGACGAAGGCUAGGGGCGCGAACCGGAUUAGGAUACCCGUGUAGU